This 253-nucleotide ribosomal RNA is filed under the name uncultured bacterium. RNAcentral's name for it is "partial 16S ribosomal RNA". It matches the Rfam family "Bacterial small subunit ribosomal RNA", at positions 524 to 776 of the family's 1533-position model. The record is from RNAcentral.
UACGAAGGGGGCUAGCGUUGCUCGGAAUCACUGGGCGUAAAGCGCACGUAGGCGGCUUCUUAAGUCAGGGGUGAAAUCCUGGAGCUCAACUCCAGAACUGCCUUUGAUACUGGGAGGCUCGAGUCCGGGAGAGGUGAGUGGAACUGCGAGUGUAGAGGUGAAAUUCGUAGAUAUUCGCAAGAACACCAGUGGCGAAGGCGGCUCACUGGCCCGGUACUGACGCUGAGGUGCGGAAGCGUGGGGAGCAAACAGG